GGUUAAGCGACUAAGCGUACACGGUGGAUGCCCUGGCAGUCAGAGGCGAUGAAGGGCGCGCUAAUCUGCGAUAAGCGCCGGUAAGGUGAUAUGAACCGUUAUAACCGGCGAUACCCGAAUGGGGAAACCCAGUGUGAUUCGUCACACUAUCAUUAACUGAAUCCAUAGGUUAAUGAGGCGAACCGGGGGAACUGAAACAUCUAAGUACCCCGAGGAAAAGAAAUCAACCGAGAUUCCCCCAGUAGCGGCGAGCGAACGGGGAGGAGCCCAGAGCCUGAAUCAGCAUGUGUGUUAGUGGAAGCGUCUGGAAAGGCGCGCGAUACAGGGUGACAGCCCCGUACACAAAAGCGCAUGUGCUGUGAGCUCGAUGAGUAGGGCGGGACACGUGGUAUCCUGUCUGAAUAUGGGGGGACCAUCCUCCAAGGCUAAAUACUCCUGACUGACCGAUAGUGAACCAGUACCGUGAGGGAAAGGCGAAAAGAACCCCGGCGAGGGGAGUGAAAAAGAACCUGAAACCGUGUACGUACAAGCAGUGGGAGCCCCACCACCAAAGCGUUUCGCUUUGUGUGGUGCACAAAGAAGCGUAACGACAGCACUGAAUGACGGUUAACGGAGCGCAAGCGACGUUCAACAUACAAAGUCAAGCAGUGGAGCGCUUUGGGGUGGGGUGACUGCGUACCUUUUGUAUAAUGGGUCAGCGACUUAUAUUCUGUAGCAAGGUUAACCGAAUAGGGGAGCCGGAGGGAAACCGAGUCUUAAU
RNAcentral lists this ribosomal RNA (760 nucleotides) under Salmonella enterica. RNAcentral's name for it is "partial 23S ribosomal RNA". It matches the Rfam family "Bacterial large subunit ribosomal RNA", at positions 1 to 688 of the family's 2925-position model. Lineage: Bacteria; Pseudomonadati; Pseudomonadota; Gammaproteobacteria; Enterobacterales; Enterobacteriaceae. The record is from RNAcentral. RNAcentral also lists the same sequence under 1 other name.